RNAcentral lists this long non-coding RNA (551 nucleotides) under Ficedula albicollis (Collared flycatcher). Its description in RNAcentral is "lncRNA (ENSFALG00000016583.2)". Lineage: Eukaryota; Metazoa; Chordata; Aves; Passeriformes; Muscicapidae. The record is from RNAcentral.
AAACAAGUUGUCUGUUGCAUUGCAGAUGAGUCUCAUAAUCUUGAUUUUUGCUUUCCACAGUGGCUGAGUGACUGAGCAAAGCAGUUGAGGAAAAGGAUAGAAACCCCUUGGACUUCUCAUUUUGGAGGGAGGAGGACAUCUCGGAGCAAAUCAGGAAAAUACUGGUUGUAAUAGGGAUAUCUUGCAGGGAUAACUGCAAGAAGCAAUUGUAAGUUCGAGGACAGAAGGAAAGGAGCACCUGGCAUCUUGCCUGGAUGUUCACAGCAGUAACUGGCCAUGUUCUGUUUGGAAGGGAGGACAGGUCAGAAAAAUGCUGGAAGCAAGAAAGCCCUUUUGGAUCCCUCUCUACAAGAAGAUGGCACCAGUCACCGCCGCCGAGCAAACAGGGAAAGGAGCGCUGGAGGAGCGCCGCGGCGGCCGCAGCGCGCCCGCCCGCCCCGGCUCCCCCCCCCCCCCCCCCCCCCCCCCCCCCCCCCCCCCCCCCCCCCCCCCCCCCCCCCCCCCCCCCCCCCCCCCCCCCCCCCCCCCCCCCCCCCCCCCCCCCCCCCCCC